AUGCACGGUUCCUAAGGAUCUGUGCUGUGGUCAGUAGGAUAGAUUCUCCAACUACGUGCUAAAGUAACGGGGAGACUUUGACUGUCCAGGCUAUCUGGUGUCUGUGACAGCCCCUCGACUGCCCUACAGGU
Pygocentrus nattereri (red-bellied piranha) is the source of this 131-nucleotide small nucleolar RNA. Ensembl annotates it as Small nucleolar RNA SNORA44. Its record names the gene SNORA44. NCBI's taxonomy places the organism in Eukaryota, Metazoa, Chordata, Actinopteri, Characiformes, Serrasalmidae. The record is from Ensembl.